UCCUUGCACCAAGUGUCUGGUUUCUGUUGUGAUUAAUCUAUCGAUGUUUUCCCCCCAAAGUAGCACGAGGGACAGUCCCUAAUGGCUGUUCACAUUAUGUACUCGCGCCGAUAUUCGUAAUUUCUGACCUCACUGACAGUCGUUGAAUAUGCGUGUCGUCUGAUGGGUCACCUCAGCGGCCGAUGGAGAUGAUCGGACAUUCUGAUUGGUCGAUGACAGUAUAAUAAUACUCCAAUGAUUCAUUGUGACAAAACCUUAACAAGGAAUAUACUUGAGAGGAUACACUUUGAAGCCGAUUUCUGCUGACUAUGUGGAGGAGCUUACAGAUUCUGAUAUUUGUGGUUCUAGUGUCCAUGACAUACGCUGUAUACUUUGACGACUCACCAAGCUAUGCUCCGUCGUACGCCCAGAACCCCUGUAUGCUGUGUCUGUUCACGCACAAACGAGAAUACUGCGAGAUUUGUAAAUACGAGGAAGACAAUGGUGACGUGUACACAAACAAAAGAUCAGAUUAUUACCAGAGAAGAAUCAGAGGGCGGGGAUAUUAUUGCCUUUGUUGUGCACGAUCUAGAUUAACAAACUCUGGGUGCUGCACAAUGUGCAGUAGCGAAGUAUAAAAAUGUGUUUAAAAAAAGGUUAUGCAAAUUUCACUUUCCUUUUAAUAUUCGCUUGUACAUUCUUCCUACGCAAAUUCAUGUCAAAUAUAACACAACGUUCUUAACUGCAAUUAAUCUAUAAAAUUGAAAUAUGGUC
This is a long non-coding RNA of Saccostrea echinata, 753 nucleotides long. RefSeq lists it as uncharacterized. NCBI's taxonomy places the organism in Eukaryota, Metazoa, Mollusca, Bivalvia, Ostreida, Ostreidae. The transcript is spliced from 2 exons. The record is from RefSeq and is a predicted model, not a curated record.